Molecule: long non-coding RNA, 1019 nt
Filed under: Homo sapiens (human)
Lineage: Eukaryota; Metazoa; Chordata; Mammalia; Primates; Hominidae
Description: non-protein coding DUBR:12
Source: RNAcentral
CGAACCGCGCAAUGCGCUUCUUCUGCCUGCAGCAGAGAAAAGGAAAGAAAACUCCGCAGGGGCUCCGUUGGCUUCUCCACGAGUGACAACCAUGUUUUCCCAGAUAGAAGACCGGAGCCCUGCUCCUUUGCGAUCCGCCGAGGGCUGCAGAGAGCAUCCUCAUCCAUUUGGGCACCCCUGCCCAGGAAGAGCCCGGCCAUCCCUUUCCGGACUGGAUCCUUAAGAGGUGAAUUUUCUUCCGUGGAUUCCGAUUUGCUCCGUCUGACCAGCCUAGGCAAUCCAGCAUCGCGUGGUACCAGUGCCGCUGGGCACACUGGCUUCACGCCGGCUCCGCCUCACCAGCAAGCGCAUUCCCAGGUGGUCAGGCUCAGGAUGGACCAUGAGCUUUCAAAAAGGAAAAAGCUUUUUCUGGAGGAAAUUCGCAUUUGAAUUGAUGGACUGAAUAAAGCAGAUUGCAGUCCCCAGUGUGGAUGGGCUUGAUCCAGUCUUCUAAGGACCCAAAUAAAAUAGGUGGAGGAAGCUUGAAUUUUCUGCCUGACUGUGGCGCUGGGACACCCAUCUUCUCCUGCCCUUGAACUGGGACUGACACCAUCAGUGCUCCUGGUUCUCAGACCUUCGGACAGCAGACUUGGGGCCUUCUCGGCCUCCAUUAUUGUCUGCUUUUAGAUAUUUAACGGGAGAGGAAAAGAGAAAAUAUGAUUAAAGCCUUUGAAAGUCCAUUUCCAAGAAAUAAAAACUGCAGUAGGAAUUCUACAAAACUGAAAAAUCUUCAGGACUGGAAGAUCUAUCCAGAAAAGCCCAGUGGAUUAUAAUAACUUAUUAAAAUAUUUGUUUGGCAAGCCACUGACUAAUACCACUUUAAGAUAUGAAUGCAUUACCAAAAAAAAUUGGAGUGAGUAGUUUUUACAAGUCUUUGAAAUAAUCAUAUUUGUAUUUUGACACUAAUUUGAAACAAGGAGCUGGCUUGAAAUAUUAAACCUAAGUGAUCAGAGACAAUGAGCUAUCAGACUGCAUGAUCA